ACAUCCAAACCAUUUUCUGAUGGUGAACUUAUGGAAAAAUUCUGAAGGCUGCAGAAGUCUUGUGCCCAAAAAAGCAGCCGACCUUUGCCAAGAUAAGUCUGUCAAGGAUUACGAUUGCAUACAACAUCUCUGAGGAGACUUGGGCACUAAAUGAAGGAAUCCAAUAAUUUGUUGUAUUUCCAGUCACUAUUGAUGAAAGUGUAACAGGACGUGAUCAGUUCAUUUUAAUUACACAAAAUAUUGACUGUCUCUAAGUUUCUUUCCCCCCCUUGUAUUCUGUGUUGGGUUUUGUAGCCCCUCCUUAAUGUGUUCUUCUUCACUGGUUUUCUCUUUAUAAGGUUGGCACUUUCUUUCCCUCUCUCCUUUUUGUUUUACUGUCCAGCGGGAGAGGAGCUAAUACGGGAUGCUAACACCGUGAUUUCUAUUUUCUUUUUGGAAAAUUGUCAGAUACGCAAUAAACGGAGGUGGUCUCCAAGGGUG
Oryzias latipes (Japanese medaka) is the source of this 480-nucleotide non-coding RNA. The record is from RefSeq and is a predicted model, not a curated record. NCBI's taxonomy places the organism in Eukaryota, Metazoa, Chordata, Actinopteri, Beloniformes, Adrianichthyidae.